Molecule: ribosomal RNA, 497 nt
Filed under: uncultured bacterium
Lineage: Bacteria
Description: partial 16S ribosomal RNA
Rfam family: Bacterial small subunit ribosomal RNA
Source: RNAcentral
GAUGAACGCUGGCGGCGUGCCUAAUACAUGCAAGUCGAGCGAACAGACGAGGAGCUUGCUCCUCUGACGUUAGCGGCGGACGGGUGAGUAACACGUGGAUAACCUACCUAUAAGACUGGGAUAACUUCGGGAAACGGGCGAAAAUACCGGAGAAUAUCUUGAACCGCAGGGUGGAAUAGUGAAAGACGGUUUUGCUGUAACUUAUAGAUGGAUCCGCGCCGCAUUAGCUAGUUGGUAAGGUAACGGCUUACCAAGGCAACGAUGCGUAGCCGACCUGAUGGGGUGGUCGGCCACACUGGAACUGAGACACGGUCCAGACUCCUACGGGAGGCCGCAGUAGGGAAUCUGCCGCAGUGGGCGAAAGCCUUACGGAGCAACGCCGCGUGAGUGAUGAAGGUCUUCGGAUCGUAAAACUCUGUUACUAGGGAAAAACAACUUUGUAAGUAACUAUGCACGGCUUGACGGUACCUAAUCAGAAAGCCCCGGCUAAUUACGUG